AUCCUCGCCUUUCCUGCGCGAGAAGCAUGGAGGGUGGAUGCACAGCAAUGGUGUAGGCGAGGGAGUGGACGCUUCUCCGACUCGUGCGAUGUGGACAGUUGAUGUGGGGAGUGGGGAGGAGAAGGACGAGAAAUGCACGGUGCAGCACCGUUAGCAGAGUGGUUGUGUCUGCUUUUGCUGUGCUGGACUCGGGGACAGAUCCUGGCGCAGAGGGACAGCUGCAGAUCUAUAGAAUCAAAUGUCGUGAGGAACAACCUUGGAGAUUUGGCAGUAGGACUGUCACGUCGGGGUCAGUUUCGAGAGUAUGCUCUUCGACCUUUUCUUCAACCCCGUGUGCCUGAUACUCCUGGGAGUACUACAGUCCGAAAUCAUAUCACUACAUGGAUGUCCAGUGUGGGAUGGACUGUAGAGGAAGACAGCUUUCAGCAGCAAACACCCUUUGGCACUCGUCGCUUUACCAAUGUAAUUGCAACACUUGACCCAAGCAAAUCACGAAGAAUUGUUCUUGCUUGUCACUAUGAUUCCAAGCUGUAUAACAACAUGGUUUUCAUUGGUGCCACAGACUCUGCUGUGCCCUGUGCUUUGAUGCUAGAAACUGCAUUAAGAAUGCAGAAUCACUUUAGGUCUACAAAAGAAUCAAACUCAGAUCUGACACUUCAGUUUGUGUUCUUUGAUGGGGAGGAGGCCUUGAUGACUUGGUCACAAUAUGACUCGCUUUAUGGUUCCAAACAUCUGGCUGCCAAGUGGGCUGACACUCCAGAUCCUAAUAAUUUAGGCCUUACCUACAUUCAGACUAUUGAACAGAUGAUACUGAUGGACCUCAUUGGAACACCAGACACCUCUUUCGAUCUUCAGUUUGCUCAAACAGCAUCUUCUUACUACAAACUCAGGAACAUUGAGCAAUGCCUGCAGCAGCAUGGUUAUCUAAACCCCACUCAACGUAAUCGACCCAUCUUCACCAACAGACGUGCUCGGGGAGGUGUGGAGGAUGAUCAUAUACCUUUCCUUGAACGCAGGGUCCCCAUUGUUCAUCUCAUUUCCUCACCUUUCCCAUCAGUGUGGCACACAGUCUAUGACAAUAUACGGGCACUUGACUUCACACUUAUUGACAACCUAGCACGUAUACUGCGCAUCUUUCUAGCAGAUCUUCCACUUUGAAUUGAACUGCUAGAAAAACAAAUAAUUGAUCCUUGUGACAGACAUGGAUGCAAGCCUGGCUGCCAACUUUGAGAUGCUGCCCGAUGUUAUUCAUCUAAACAUUGACAGUCAACACAUCAUAUCUGUGAAAAGGAAAAAUAUGAUUUCAGUCAGAUUUUGUUUUGUGGGUGUUUUUCAUGUGUAUGCAUGCAUGGAAAGGCGAGCAUAACACAUGCUUUGUAUUGCAUGUAUAACAAGCCUCAUGUCAUUUAAAUGUUUUCACAUAUUAGACUUUUUGACUAUCU
This 1442-nucleotide unclassified non-coding RNA is filed under the name Pomacea canaliculata. RNAcentral describes it as "glutaminyl-peptide cyclotransferase-like, transcript variant X2". Lineage: Eukaryota; Metazoa; Mollusca; Gastropoda; Architaenioglossa; Ampullariidae. The record is from RNAcentral.